Molecule: ribosomal RNA, 162 nt
Filed under: Tolpis barbata
Lineage: Eukaryota; Viridiplantae; Streptophyta; Magnoliopsida; Asterales; Asteraceae
Description: 5.8S ribosomal RNA
Rfam family: 5.8S ribosomal RNA
About the family: 5.8S ribosomal RNA (5.8S rRNA) is a component of the large subunit of the eukaryotic ribosome.
Source: RNAcentral
AAACGACUCUCGGCAACGGAUAUCUCGGCUCACGCAUCGAUGAAGAACGUAGCAAAAUGCGAUACUUGGUGUGAAUUGCAGAAUCCCGUGAACCAUCGAGUUUUUGAACGCAAGUUGCGCCCGAAGCCAUCUGGCCGAGGGCACGCCUGCCUGGGCGUCACG